Vigna radiata var. radiata (mung bean) is the source of this 126-nucleotide non-coding RNA. The record is from Rfam. NCBI's taxonomy places the organism in Eukaryota, Viridiplantae, Streptophyta, Magnoliopsida, Fabales, Fabaceae.
GAGCAAGUGCGUGUAUUAUGUAAAAAUGACGAAACUUGCAUUGAAGGUUGGCGAAAAGAAUUGCGAUUCUCCGUGCCUAUCAGAUUCACUUUGUUUUGAUUAUGGCCUCGAACAAGUCGCUACAUG